RNAcentral lists this ribosomal RNA (628 nucleotides) under uncultured Alphaproteobacteria bacterium. RNAcentral describes it as "bacterial SSU rRNA". It matches the Rfam family "Bacterial small subunit ribosomal RNA", at positions 8 to 670 of the family's 1533-position model. The record is from RNAcentral. Lineage: Bacteria; Pseudomonadati; Pseudomonadota; Alphaproteobacteria.
AGAGUUUGAUCCUGGCUCAGAACGAACGCUGGCGGCAGGCCUAACACAUGCAAGUCGAAGGAGAAGUUUCUCUUCGGAGAGAUGGACACUGGCGCACGGGUGAGUAACGCGUGGGGAUCUACCCCGGGGUGGGGGACAACCGCUGGAAACGGCGGCUAAUACCGCAUACGCCUUAAGAGGGAAAGCUUUAGCGCCCUGGGAUGAACCCGCGUUAGAUUAGGUAGUUGGUGGGGUAACGGCCUACCAAGCCGACGAUCUAUAGCUGGUCUGAGAGGAUGAUCAGCCACACUGGGACUGAGACACGGCCCAGACUCCUACGGGAGGCAGCAGUGGGGAAUAUUGGACAAUGGGGGCAACCCUGAUCCAGCCAUGCCGCGUGCGUGAAGAAGGCCUUAGGGUUGUAAAGCGCUUUCACUGGUGAAGAUGAUGACGGUAGCCAGAGAAGAAGCCCCGGCUAACUCCGUGCCAGCAGCCGCGGUAAUACGGAGGGGGCAAGCGUUGUUCGGAAUUACUGGGCGUAAAGGGCGCGUAGGCGGAAUAUCAAGUUAGGGGUGAAAGGCCUGGGCUCAACCUAGGAACGGCCUCUAAAACUGAUAAUCUAGAGUCCGGAAGAGGAUGGCGGAAUUCC